This 899-nucleotide long non-coding RNA is filed under the name Fukomys damarensis (Damara mole-rat). RNAcentral's name for it is "lncRNA (ENSFDAG00000032152.1)". Lineage: Eukaryota; Metazoa; Chordata; Mammalia; Rodentia; Bathyergidae. The record is from RNAcentral.
AAAGAAAAGACAGAAACAAGCAAUCUGAGACCAGCUGUUAGUUCUGAAAAGAUUGAGACCAGAUGAGCAAGAAGCAGGUCAUAGUGGGCUACAGAUUCUCCCAAGGAGAGAAAGGACACCAGAGAGCCAGAUUCCUGAUGUUCCUAUGGAAGAGGACUCUCCUUCCAAUUCAUCCUCCUUCCUGCAAGCCAAAGAUGUCAACUUUAAUGGAAUUUCUGUGUUCACCUGUUACAAUAUAAGAGAGGGAAAGUAUCAUCAUCAUCAACAAUAACAACCACCACCACUGUAAACAGUGAAGCAGAAAGGAGAGAAUAACUCUAUAUCUCAAAUCCUGGGGGCAGUGAACAGGUGAAGAUGUCCCAGAGAACAUCAUAGUAAAGUCCAACAAUGGAGCUUCAUAACCAAGACCUGGAGAUAUCAGCGGUAGCUGAGAGCAUACGCUAAUUCUUGUUUCCCUUUCUUCCUGGGCUCCUGGGCUUCAGCAAUUCUGGAAGUUCUCUUUCCUGAGUGUUUUAAACUGCACUUCAGUGGCUGCCGCGAUGUCCUAAGUCAAGUAAAAACAUUUACCUCCCAUGGCCAUCUUGACUUUGGAAAGGAGCCAGAAGGUUUAUGAUGCCAGAUCUGGUGAAUGAGGUGAGGACACAGCACCACGUUGUUCUUUGACAGAAAUUGUCAUAAACAUUUUGACUUGAUUCAGGGGAUGAGGGGGCCACAACAGCACAACAAAGGCACUCACAAAUAAGGACUUCUAGAGUGGAAAGAAGGAAUAAGUGUACUGAAAGAUGGGGAAUUUUAUUCACUGUUUUAAAUUUGGAUUUUCACUGUAUUCCGUGAUCAUACCUCGCCCAUCACCUAUAGUUCUAGCGCAUGAAGUCUUUUAUAAGGGACCCUCCCUUCUC